CGAGCACGCGCGUGUGGCAUAUCAAUAAGCGGAGGAAAAGAAACUAACAAGGAUUCCCUUAGUAACGGCGAGUGAAGCGGGAAGAGCUCAAAUUUGAAAUCUUCAAGGUUCUACCUUGACGAAUUGUAGUUUAUAGAAGUGUUUUCUGUUAGUAGAGUGGCAAAAGUUCUUUGGAAUAGGACAUCAUAGAGGGUGAGAAUCCCGUAUUUGGUCAUUCUUUCUAGCUUUGUGAUACACUUUCAACGAGUCGGAUUGUUUGGGAAUGCAGUCCAAAAUGGGUGGUAAAUUUCAUCUAAAGCUAAAUAUUGGCGAGAGACCGAUAGCGAACAAGUACCGUGAGGGAAAGAUGAAAAGAACUUUGAAAAGAGAGUUAAACAGUACGUGAAAUUGUCAAAAGGGAAGCGUUUGACACCAGUGUUGUUUUUCCGAAAAUCAAUUACGAAUGUUUUGUUUUUGAGGAGUUAUGACUUCAUCGGCUUGCUCCUUUCUUUACGAAACUUUCUUAAUGCACUUUUCGGUUAACAAGUCAACAUCAAUUUCUUUUGUUGUAAAAGGGUAUGAGGAAGGUGGCUUUCCUUUUCGGAGAAAGUGUUUAUAGCCUUGUGCCUCUGCAAUCGGAGGGAUUGAGGUCUGCAGCGUAGAUCCUUCGGGGUUAGAUACGUUUGUGCUAAGUUAUAGCUUUUCAUAGACAACUUGUUGACUAUGUUUAGUCUUGUAGCUUACUCGCUGACGCUAUUUUACCUACGCUUAGGAUGUUGAUGUGAUACUGCGAGCA
Molecule: ribosomal RNA, 775 nt
Filed under: uncultured Neocallimastigales
Lineage: Eukaryota; Fungi; Neocallimastigomycota; Neocallimastigomycetes; Neocallimastigales
Description: partial large subunit ribosomal RNA
Rfam family: Eukaryotic large subunit ribosomal RNA
Source: RNAcentral